RNAcentral lists this microRNA precursor (103 nucleotides) under Marmota monax (woodchuck). Lineage: Eukaryota; Metazoa; Chordata; Mammalia; Rodentia; Sciuridae. The record is from RNAcentral.
CUCAGAAUCACCCAGGAGUUGUGAAAAUGCAGAUCCUGAUUAACUAGGUCUGAAAUGGAACCUGAGAGUCUGCAUUUCUAACAAGCUUCCAGAAGAUUCUGGG